CGUGCUUACACAUGCAAGUCGAGUGCGCGUCCGUAGCAAUACGGAUGGCGCACGGCGCACGGGUGCGUAACACGUGGGUAAUCUGCCCUCUGAUGGGGAAUAACCCGCCGAAAGGCGGGCUAAUACCGCAUAACAUUCCUUGGACUCCGGUUCGAGGAUUCAAAGGCGUAAGUCGCCGGAGGUGGAGCCCGCGCACGAUUAGCUAGUUGGUAGGGUAAUGGCCUACCAAGGCUGUGAUCGUUAGCUGGUCUGAGAGGAUGGCCAGCCACACUGGAACUGAGACACGGUCCAGACUCCUACGGGAGGCAGCAGUGGGGAAUCUUGCACAAUGGGCGAAAGCCUGAUGCAGCGACGCCGCGUGGGGGAUGAAGCUUCUCGGAGUGUAAACCCCUUUCGACCGGGACGAAUACCUCGCAAGAGGGGUGACGGUACCGGUAUAAGAAGCCCCGGCUAACUACGUGCCAGCAGCCGCGGUAAGACGUAGGGGGCCAGCGUUGCUCGGAAUUACUGGGUGUAAAGGGUUCGUACGCGGUGUGGCAAGUCGGGAGUGAAAU
This 554-nucleotide ribosomal RNA is filed under the name uncultured bacterium. RNAcentral's name for it is "bacterial SSU rRNA". It matches the Rfam family "Bacterial small subunit ribosomal RNA", at positions 43 to 600 of the family's 1533-position model. The record is from RNAcentral.